ACGGAAAAGGUACUGAAAAUAAAACAGUUAAAUUAGAAGUGAAAGUACCUGAAGGUGUCGACAAUGAACAACAAAUUAGAUUAGCUG
Molecule: small RNA, 87 nt
Filed under: Staphylococcus aureus
Lineage: Bacteria; Bacillati; Bacillota; Bacilli; Caryophanales; Staphylococcaceae
Description: HMPRFS0000_1719
Source: RNAcentral